GCUCCAGGAUUAAAAAUCCCAAUUCAGUAAUGCCUAUUCUCAUUCCUAUAAUAUUACAAAUAACAAAUAUUAAUUUUAUUCAGAAUAACAACAGCUUUUUAACUUAAAAAAAAAAGAAACAUUAGAGGCCUCAUUUCAUCUUAGCAAGAAAUCCCCCAGGGCAGAUUCAAGACAGACAAGCACUGAAGGUUUUUUGAUUUUACACUUUUACAUCCAGCUCAGGCUAACUUUCACCUACCUCAAUAAAUAUAUCUUCCUCACUAAGUGAGCUUUACAUGUGGAGGAAGCACAUAGCAGAUAUGCUUUCAGUAUUGAGAGGACAACACACAUAGGCACACAAUUGGACACAGAAACGGUCUGACUCAACUAAACAUCACAUGUGCAGGAAAAUACACCUGCAUAUGGACACAUAUUUACCUAAUGGUAGAGACUAAUACACAGAGCACGUUGCAAAAAUACACAUGUAUAUAUAAAUUAAGCGAUGCAUACAUAAUUAGAUUUCUCUGUUAUGUAAAAAGUGUUUUCUACCACCUUAUCUUGUAUUUUCUUGGUGUGUGUGUGUGUUCUUUUAUCUGUCUCUUUAGACUGAUUUUGGAUGGCAGCAAUUACCUUCCUCAUGUCUCCCCAGUCAGCACUACAAUUUGUACAGUACAUUGCACAACAUAAUACUUUAAUUUAUUUUUAAUGAAUUAAGAAGCAUAUCCAGGCAAAACUGUGGAUAUAGGCAAGAUCCAGACAUACACAACCCAAGAAGUAUUUAAAAUUGAGAGAGCUGCAUAGUGUGAGAUUGAGACAGAUGUAUGGGUUUGAGAAGAUAUGAGCAAGUAAGAUUUAGUUAGAAAGGGAGUAAAUGGCAGGGUAGAACAGACUGGCUAUCUAACAAAGUGAGCUCAGGAUUUUGGUAUUAAUUAUACAAAAUUAACAUUCUUAGUAAUCUCAUGGAAUUAUUUGUUUUCUCAAAUUAUUGAUUAAUUCAUAUAAACAUUUGAAUGUUUAAAAUCAACCGAAUGCUCUUUUAUUCUAACCCUUUUAGAGUUUCUAAGAUAUUUAGCAAAUUUUUAAAAUAUUUAAAACUUCAAUGCUUAGGUCAUGCUCAUUUUCUAAAACAUUAUUACUUUCUCAGUAUUUGUUUUACUUCCAGCGUUAGGAAAAAAAUAUUUGAAAAACAGAAAGGCUGUACUUUAAUCAGUCUGUUUCAAAAACUAAUAUUGAAUCCUUUCUAAUGUAAUCACUCAGACCUAAGUCAAAGAGGAGUUAAUUCUGCGUUGCUCUUUAAUUAUUCACAAGUCCUUUUUCUCAUAGUAUCAGGGCUCAGCUCCUAACUAAUAGCUAUGUUUAACCAGUUGUUUUAAACUAUAAAUUUCUCUAACAGGGUUAUGCAAAGAUGGAUUCUAUUUUUUUAGUUAUGGAAAUUAUUACAUUCCUUAUUGAUUUACAUGAUCACAGCAUAAUUGAAUAGGAUAUAGGGGGUUGUAUAUUUGAACUCCAAAGAGGUGUUUUACCUUAUUCCACUUCUAGAACAAAAAGUCAUGAUCCAAGGAGGUAGGAGGUACAAUAUUAUAUAGACAUAAGGUUAAAAUUGAGAAUCUGUGUUGUGUUUUAGUCUAUAUAAUGGGUAGAGGGAAGGCUAGCAAAUGAACAUAAUGGACAACAUGAUCCUUAACUUAAGAGAAAAAAAGGAAAGAGUGAUUUACAGAUAGCUAAAGUCCUUGCCAGAGUUUAUAAUGCUUUCCUCAGCAAGUAAGUUGAUUGCAAAUGAAUAAUUUUUCAGGUGACAUAACACAACUCCAGAAGACAACCCACAUUUCCAUUCUGAAGAAUUCUAUGAUAAACAAGUCAUUUUAUCUGAUAUACAGUGACAGAUGAUUAAGACAGUGCAUUAUACUGUAUUCAGAAUUUUUUUUUCAGGACUAUCAAUCCAACCAUAAUGGUAUGUUAGAGAAGCAUGCACACUUGGACAAUUCCUCUCAUAACAAUAGCAUUCCAAAUGUUUCUGCAGAUGUUUGGUGAAGAUUGCCUUUGUGACAAGAAUGGAUGUUUAGAUGCUUAUAAGCAUAAAAAUCUAACACAAGAAAAGGAGAAACACUCUUCUCUAAGAGUAAAGUUUGUUCCUCUCAAAUAGUUUUGAAACUGAAGUUUCAAUGUGCGAUGUGGACUUUAAUAAGCUUUUAUACAUAUUACAGAAUAAGCUGAAUUAUACUGUCAUUUUUAACAGAGCAGAGUAUCUCUCCCAAGAAAUAAGGCUUUAUUUAAGACUUUACAGGGAAAAUAUCAAGGCCUUGUUAUAUAAAAGUGGGUUCAGAUUUUACUUGGGUAUUUAGCAACAGGAAGUAAACUAUGUGACUAUAAACUGGAUUAGAAAUAUAAACAGCUCCUCCUGUUUCACCAACCUGUAGUUGGCCUUUCAGAGCUACUAUUAAUCCUGGUGGAUCUUACAAAUGCUAAUACUCUCACCUUUUACUUCCUACUUUCUUCUGCAGCAUUAACAAUAAAUUGUCAUGAUUGAGGUAAAUCUUCCUGUUUUUCCUCUCCCAGUGGAACAUAUGGACUCUAUUAUAUGCAUAUACUGAGUUCUUUAUAUAUAUAUAUAUGUAAAGGAACUGGAAAUAUUGAAACCUAGAGAAUUACAGAAUUGUUAGAUGGCAAUGACAAUUUUCUGUUAUUCCAGUGUCUUUACUCUUAUAUCCAUCCUGCUCAUAAAUAACAUAAAGUUAAUUCAUUAUUUACAUCUGAAAUGUUUCUACUUUGAUACAUUUCCCUUUUAAUUAUACAUUCCUUGAGACCAGAGAUAAUUUUUUUUAGGCUAACUGCAAAAAGUGCUUACUAUCUCAUACUGUAGUUUAUAAAUGUAGCACAUGGUUUGUAAGCACUCAAUAAUGUAGAUAACUGUGGUGAUAAUAUUAUCAGUAUGAGCAAUUCUUUCCAUUUUAGAAAAAAGGAUAGAAAGUUAUAUUUUGAUUAGCAAGGAAAAUGAUUUUGUUUUAAGAAUUUUUUAAUUAUGAAGUAUUCUUAAAGUAAUAACAUCAACUAUAAAUUAAAAUUAUUCAUAAACAUAAAUUAGUUUUAAAUGACCUCUCUGAAUGGUUUCAACACAAAGAAAAUCAUACUGGGUAAAUCGGUACAGCACAUUUUUAGAAAUUAGCAAGACUUCAAUAAUUUAAUGAGUAUCUAAUGUCUUACCAUUCAUUUUUGUCGACUUGAGUUUGUUGAAAAUUCAUUAAGAUGUUUAUGUGUAUAGCUUAAUUUUGAUGAAGAUGAAAGCAACUUUAGGUUAAAAAAUAUACUGCAGAGAGCACCUAUGGAUGAUAUCGAGUGAUACAUAUGAAAGAUACAGACUUUGUAGUUGGGUUUGAUGUCCAGCCUGACUACACUUAUUAGUGAACAAAUAUCCUGUGUUGGAUGUUGACUUAAGUACAAUGUGUUACAAAAUCAUGGGAUCUCUGUGCUGAUGGAACUUACAGCCUAGUGGGUGGGGUACUCUAUUUUCAAAUAAUCACAUAUUUUUAAAAUGUGAAAAUUUCCAAAUUAAAACAGUAAAACCUGUGGAAAUUCUGUUUCCAUUAUUUUAUGCAAAUUUAUAAAGGUUGGUUGACAGGGAGGUAAAGAAAGAUUUUCCUAAGGAACUGCCAAAGGACUGAGAUCUGAAAAACAUAGGAAUUAACUAGGUAAAAGGAAGAAAAAGAGGGUGAGUGCCAUGGUCCUGCUGCAGGAGAAGGCAGAGAAGAAUCAGGAGGAAAAGUCACUGCAGCAGGCCAGUGAGCCGGGAAAGUUUGAAACAAGAUGAGGCUAGCAUGCAGAGCCAGAACUUGCAGGCCUUUGUGAACACAUGAAUUAUUUCUGGUGUGCAAGGGUGAAUCUAGAAUUAUAGUCAGAUGACCAGAUCUGCAUUUCAAAGAGCAACAACAAAAAACAAACACAAAACAAAAAAACAAACUGCAGUGUUCAUAGUGGGAUGCAACAAUGGAAGCAAACAGAUCAGGUGGAACUACUGAAGAAAUAGCAAUGAAAGAUUUAAUUAACUCUUCUGGAUGGCAUUUUCCUCAAGCAUAAAAUAAGGGGCCAGACUGGAUGGCUGCAAAGAUCCCUUCUAUUCCUAACAGUCUGUGGAUCAGGUAACUGGAAAGUUAAACCUGCACUUAAUGGGCAGGAUACUCAUUAUAGCAAGUCAAGUUGCUGAAAGCUGAGGCAGAUACCUCUCCAGAGCAAAUGGCCUCCUUGAUCCUAUGGCAAUAGAGAUAUUGUAAAUUGGACAACUGAAAAGAGACCAUCUGCUUGUUUGUAUUGAAAAUGCAAUCUGGAGUGUCACCAAACACCUGUCCUCACGAUUGUCAGGUACCUCACUCUUCCAGUCUGCUUGGAUUUCCUCCUGUUGGCUGGAGCUGGGUCUAGCCCUCCAGAGCCUACUCAAGUCUAACAGGGGCUGCUGCUGUUACCGGUCUACGCACCAUAGCUGGAGAACCACUGCUCUAAAACACUAAAUUAUACCUACUGCUAGGAUCAACAAUUCAAGUGUUUCCCGGAUUGUGCAUGACAAGGUACUUGAAUGCUUGACCUCUUUGGUAAUUUUUUUUGGGGGGAUGUCUGUUUUAAUGACUACCAAGCCUUCCACUUAUGAUUGACAAUGUCUGCUUUCCUGAGAUACUAUAAUGUUGAGGCCUAAUACAACUACAUGUUAAGUGUCAUAUCAGAUUUUUCCACUUUAAAGGAAUCUGCAUAUGUAGACCCAGAUCUAUCAUGUAUUGAUUUCAGUUUCCAGAAGCCAAUCGUAAUUUCAAUAGUUUAUGCCUCUUGGAGGAUGUUUCAUUAUGUUUUUAUAAAAGAUGUAUAUUUUCCUUGUUAAGGGCUGGGCAAUAUCCCAGGUCUACAUGCUAUAAACCAAUAAAUGAUGUGAACAAAUUAAGGGAUACAUUUGACACGUUGACUGUUUUAGGCAAACAUGAAGACAUUUGAGUACAAAUGCAGUGUUUGUCAGUAGGACUCUUAGCAGACUGAAGGAUACCAAACACUCACCCAGAGAUGAUAUGUGUGAUGACAAAUGAAGUCAUUUUAUUUAACUAUUAUUUUAAAUUAUCAAAAUAUGUGAUACUUACAUGUAACAUUAUGAUUGCUUUAAUAGUAAUGAGACUUUUUCCACUCUUAGGGUCUACUUAGGGUAAUACAUUUAGCACUUAAAGGAAGAUUUAAAAUGGAGAUUUCCUGACCUGUGGUAAAGGAGUAGAAUCCCCUGGUCUAUUUGUUCUUUAAGAAGCAAAAACAAACAAGCAAAAACCAUUCUGACCUACGUUCAUAUUAAAUCAUCUCUAAUUCUUUGACAUAAAUACCAGAUCAUAAGUAAUACUUGGUUCAUUCCACAAACAAAUUGAGAAAUGGGGACUUAAAAUAGUUUACAAGUUAUUUAAGGAAUCCAAAAGUACUUAUUUGAAUAUAAUCUUGUACUAUAAAAGAAAUUUGAAUGAAAAAUCAGUUCUUUUGUCAAAAAUAAUUUAAAUUUUUUUUUAAGAAGGAAAAUAACAUAGCAAUACCUGUUGCGAAUUUAGUUUAAGCUGUAAAAGAACAACUGGCCCUUUCCAGUACUGCAAAGAAAUACUUCAGUUGCACAAGUACCUAAUCCUUCAGCCCCGUGAGUCAUGCACAGCUGCUCAAAGAAGCUGUGUUCUGGCCUCCUGUCAAGCACCUCCACCUCCACAUGCUACUUCAGCCUCCUAGGCUUGUUCUUGCUCACACUCUUCAGCCGAUUAACUUUUAUUCAACCUUCAAGAGUUACAUGGGCCGCAUCUCCUAGUUUGAUAGAAAGAAGAAAACUUCUAAAGAAUUUAGUGGGGGCAAGAUAUUAUCUUGAUAGAGGUAUUAUAGAAAAGAAUGUUGGAAGAAGAAACAAAAAUAAAAUGGGUUUAGAAGGCUGGCUUUGUCACCAAGCCUUGGGCUUUGGAUAAAUCACUCGGUUUCUUAAGGAUUUAUUUGUGUUAUGGAUGGACUGGAAUAAAUAAGCUUUAGGACCAUUUAUAAAUCCAGAUUGUAGCCUAUGGCCAUUUCUUAUAUUCUCUCUCUACCUGGAAACUUUUAACCUAUUUGCACCUUCAAGAAAAGUUGUAACAGAUUAAAUUCACACUCACAAUCCAUGAUAUCAAUGGGCUCAACUACUAAAUCUGAAUGACAUUUACUAACACAUAUCAUUAAUAUGUUACCUUAAUUCUACACUGUUAUUUAUAUGUCAUUAGUGAUCUCAUGAUUUAUUUAUAAACUUUAAUAAAGGCAGGAUCCAGAGGAGCUUGUGAGUGUUUAUA
Manis pentadactyla (Chinese pangolin) is the source of this 6284-nucleotide long non-coding RNA. RefSeq lists it as uncharacterized. The transcript has 4 exons. The record is from RefSeq and is a predicted model, not a curated record. NCBI's taxonomy places the organism in Eukaryota, Metazoa, Chordata, Mammalia, Pholidota, Manidae.